GAGGGCCUACGGGGGGCAGCAGUGGGGAAUAUUGCACAAUGGGCGAAAGCCUGAUGCAGCAACGCCGCGUGAAGGAAGACGGUUUUCGGAUUGUAAACUUCUGUUCUUAGUGAAGAAUAAUGACGGUAACUAAGGAGCAAGCCACGGCUAACUACGUGCCAGCAGCCGCGGUAAUACGUAGGGAGCGAGCGUUAUCCGGAAUUAUUGGGCGUAAAGGGUGCGUAGAUGGCAUAGUAAGUCUUUUGUAAAAAUGCUGGGCUCAACCCAGUAGGGCAAAAGAUAC
RNAcentral lists this ribosomal RNA (283 nucleotides) under uncultured bacterium. Its description in RNAcentral is "partial 16S ribosomal RNA". It matches the Rfam family "Bacterial small subunit ribosomal RNA", at positions 333 to 633 of the family's 1533-position model. The record is from RNAcentral.